This 425-nucleotide long non-coding RNA is filed under the name Androctonus crassicauda. Lineage: Eukaryota; Metazoa; Arthropoda; Arachnida; Scorpiones; Buthidae. The record is from RNAcentral.
CCCCUCUCCCUCCAAAGAAAUUACACAUUUUCUUAAAUAAUUUUUAAGAACUGAAAAUGAUACAAAAUUUUUUAUACAAAUAUCUGGUGAAUAGUAAUGAUAUUCCAUGCUCUUGGCCCCUACUUAGCUUGGUGGCCGGGGCGGACCGCCCUUCGGACCCGCUGGGUACGGGCCAUCCUAAUUGUUUUUUCGACCAAAAAUGAUACGAACCGUCCACAUCUAUGGUGACCAUAUCGAUCCACAUACAAAAUUUGCAGUGGGAAUCCGAAUCUAACUCUUACCUCCGGGUGCUCAGCGGCUCUUUUAUAUGGCGGAAGGCUCCAGUGUUGGUAAAUUUUAUAAAAUUUUCAUAUUUUCUUAUUUAUGUUCAUAUUUUUAGUAACAAUUCAAAAACAAUAUGUAUAUAUAUAUAUAACAUUUUUUUC